Molecule: ribosomal RNA, 253 nt
Filed under: uncultured bacterium
Lineage: Bacteria
Description: partial 16S ribosomal RNA
Rfam family: Bacterial small subunit ribosomal RNA
Source: RNAcentral
UACGUAGGGUGCAAGCGUUGUCCGGAAUUAUUGGGCGUAAAGAGCUUGUAGGCGGUUUGUCGCGUCUGCUGUGAAAUUUCGGGGCUCAACCCCGAACUUGCAGUGGGUACGGGCAGACUAGAGUGUGGUAGGGGAGACUGGAAUUCCUGGUGUAGCGGUGAAAUGCGCAGAUAUUAGGAGGAACACCGGUGGCGAAGGCGCCACUCUGGGCCGAAACUGACGCUGAGGAGCGAAAGUGUGGGGAGCGAACAGG